Molecule: long non-coding RNA, 630 nt
Organism: Corvus hawaiiensis (hawaiian crow)
Lineage: Eukaryota; Metazoa; Chordata; Aves; Passeriformes; Corvidae
Exons: 3
Source: RefSeq, a predicted model, not a curated record
AAAAAACCCAUGGCUUUUUAACCAAAGUAUGUUUUUCUCCGAGGCAGGGCCUACUACACAAAGAAAAGGAGAAAAAACAUUAUGAAAUAUGUACUUAUUAAACAGUAAGAAUUUUGCAUCCUACUACAAAAGUAGAAGGAAAAGUCAAAUACAUGCAGUCUGACUUCAUAGAUUUGACUUAUUUAAGUAACUUCCUUAGUGUUGUCAUUUGCAAAGGUUUUGCAAAUACUUCCCUAAUCCUGAACAGAGAAUAUGGUUUGAUUUUAAUUCCAGCUGAAAAUGAUAAAUUGAAGUCCAGCUAUAGAAAUUUUUGAAGGAACUACUACAGAACUAUUUCUAAUUUUCAGCUUUUUGAACAUGAAAAUGAAUCAGAAUCUAUUUCCUGGCCUGCACACUAAUCUCAGAAUUUGGAACACAGAAGCAAUCAAGGUUCUGUCCACAGCGAUCUUGAUGAGCAGAGUCUCAAGAUACAGAGUGAGCACAACCGAUGUAGUACACUACUCUCCUUAUCUUUUGAGUGGUCUGGAUAUCAGUGGCAUAUUAGACAACCCGGUUCCUGAGCUUUCAGGUGAGGCACGUUUACUUGGCACGGACAAGAAAACAAACUCAUCACACAGGAAGUAACAGAAG